CGUUCCCGGACCUUGUACACACCGCCCGUCAAGCCAUGGGAGCCGGGGGUACCUGAAGAUGGUGACUUCACUGGGAGCUAUCUAAGGUAAGACCGGUGACUGGGGCU
This 107-nucleotide ribosomal RNA is filed under the name uncultured bacterium. RNAcentral describes it as "partial 16S ribosomal RNA". It matches the Rfam family "Bacterial small subunit ribosomal RNA", at positions 1369 to 1482 of the family's 1533-position model. The record is from RNAcentral.